This 551-nucleotide small RNA is filed under the name Histoplasma capsulatum. RNAcentral's name for it is "hypothetical RNA". Lineage: Eukaryota; Fungi; Ascomycota; Eurotiomycetes; Onygenales; Ajellomycetaceae. RNAcentral also lists the same sequence under 1 other name. The record is from RNAcentral.
CUCUCUCUGUUACUUGUUUUCUUGUUUUCCUCGAUGAACCCUUGUAUACUAGUUCAGUAUGUUGAGAAGGGUUGCUCGUGGCGUAUCUUCGCUUUUGCCUUGAGCAUUUUAUACUAGGGAUGCAAGGUGUGAAGCAGGGUAGAGUCAAGUUAAUUGCUAAAGUAACUCAUGGUUACCAUUCGCGAACUGUGCAGCCUAGUGGCGGAUGAAAGGUUUACACGUCUAACAAGUUAGUAUAUGAGACCUUAAUUCCGGAAGGGCUUAUGGUCCGCAUCCGCGGGAAUGAGAUCUAUCUCAGUGAGUCAGAGAAGUACGGCGGCAUGACGAACUAUGGAGAUACCCUACUUCUAGAGAAUAGUGUUUUACAGUGGCUUCGGAACUGGCCAGGCUACUUUCACCUCCUCAAGCAACAAGUUAUAGCGUGUGAAACGUGCGGACGAGUAGCACGGAACACUUUCUUUUCACCAAGCGAGUGCUCGAACCCGAAUGCUUCGUAUAGGUAAGGGCUGGAAAGCCUGUGGAAAUGGUCAAAGCAAAACUGCAAAUGUCUG